RNAcentral lists this long non-coding RNA (1999 nucleotides) under Cyanistes caeruleus (blue tit). RNAcentral's name for it is "lncRNA (ENSCCEG00000003262.1)". Lineage: Eukaryota; Metazoa; Chordata; Aves; Passeriformes; Paridae. The record is from RNAcentral.
GGUUCAGUUUUGGGUCUCUUUUGGGUCAUUUUUGGGUCAGUUCAUGCCCCAGGAUCACUUUUGGGUCAGUUUUGGGUCAGUUUUGGUUCAGUUUUGGGUCCAUUUGGGUCCAUUUGGUUCAGUUUUGGGUCAGUUUUGGUUCAGUUUUGUUUCAGUUUUGGGUCCGUUUUGGGUCCACUUGGGUCCGUUUUGGGUCAGUUCAUGCCCCAGGAUCACUUUUGGGUCAGUUUUGGUUCAUUUUUGGGUCCACUUGGUUCAUUUUUGGGUCAGUUCAUGCCCCAGCAUCACUUUUGGGUCAUUUUUGGGUCCAUUUGGGUCCAUUUGGUUCAGUUUUGGGUCAGUUUUGGGUCAGUUUUGCGUCAGUUUUGGGUCAGUUUUGGGUCAGUUCAUGCCCCAGGAUCACUUUUGGGUCAGUUUUGGGUCCAUUUGGGUCCAUUUUGGUUCAUUUUUGGGUCCACUUGGUUCAUUUUUGGGUCAGUUCAUGCCCCAGCAUCACUUUUGGGUCAGUUUUGGGUCCAUUUGGGUCAGUUUUGGGUCCAUUUGGAUCAUUUUUGGGUCACUUUUGGGUCUAUUUGGGUCACUUUUGGGUCCAUUUGGGUCAUUUUUGGGUCCAUUUGGUUCAGUUUUGGGUCAGUUCAUGCCCCAGGAUCACUUUUGGGUCAGUUUUGGGUCCAUUUGGGUCAGUUUUGGUUCAGUUUUGGGUCCAUUUGGUUCAUUUUUGGGUCAGUUCAUGCCCCAGGAUCACUUUUGGGUCAUUUUUGGGUCAGUUUUGGUUCAGUUUUGGGUCCAUUUGGGUCCAUUUGGUUCAGUUUUGGGUCAGUUUUGGUUCAGUUUUGUUUCAGUUUUGGGUCCGUUUUGGGUCCGUUUUGGUUCAGUUUUGGGUCCAUUUGGGUCAGUUUUGGGUCAGUUUUGGGUCAGUUUUGGUUCAGUUUUGGUUCAGUUUUGGGUCCAUUUGGGUCCAUUUGGGUCCAUUUGGGUCCGUUUUGGUUCAUUUUUGGGUCCAUUUGGGUCACUUUUGGGUCCACUUGGUUCAUUUUUGGGUCAGUCCAUGCCCCAGCAUCACUUUUGGGUCAGUUCUGCUUCAUUUUUGGGUCCAUUUGGUUCAGUUUUGGGUCAGUUCAUGCCCCAGGAUCACUUUUGGGUCAGUUUUGGGUCCAUUUGGUUCAGUUUUGGGUCAUUUUUGGGUCAGUUCGUGCCCCAGGAUCACUUUUGGGUCAUUUUUGGGUCCAUUUGGGUCCGUUUUGGGUCAGUCCAUGCCCCAGCAUCACUUUCGGGGUGCCCCACCUCCGCCGUGACCCCGCUCUCCCUCUGCAGGAGAAGGAAGGCGUGCAGUGGGAGGCCAAGGAGGAGGAGGAGGAGGAGGAAGAGGAGGAGGAGGAGGGCGAGAAGGAGGAGGAAGACGACCACAUGGAAUACUGCCGGGUGUGCAAGGACGGCGGCGAGCUGCUGUGCUGCGACGCCUGCGUCUCCUCCUACCACAUCCACUGCCUCAACCCGCCCCUGCCCGAGGUCCCCAACGGGGAGUGGCUCUGUCCCCGCUGCACGGUGCGUGGGGACACCUGGGGACACCUGGGGACAUCAUCUGGGGACACCUGGGGACACCUGGGGACACCCUGGGGACACCUGGGGACAUGGGGACACUGCGUCUCCUCCUACCACAUCCACUGCCUCAACCCGCCCCUGCCCGAGGUUCACCUGGGGACACCUUGGGGACACCCUGGGGACACCUGGGGACACCCUGGGGACACCUUGGGGACAUGGGAAACACCUGGGGACACAGCUGGGGACACCCAAAACACACCUGGGGACAUGGGACACACCUGGGACACACCUGGAGACACCUGGGGACACCUGGGGACACCUGGGGACACCUGGAACAUGUCUAGAACCCGAUCUAGAACCGAGUCUAGAACCGAGUCUAAAACCGAGUCUAGAACCGCUCUAGAACCGAGUCUAGAACCGAGUCUAGAACCGAGUCUAGAACCGAUCUAGAACCGAG